RNAcentral lists this long non-coding RNA (944 nucleotides) under Sus scrofa (pig). RNAcentral describes it as "lncRNA (ENSSSCG00050012280.1)". The record is from RNAcentral. Lineage: Eukaryota; Metazoa; Chordata; Mammalia; Artiodactyla; Suidae.
GUGGGUGAGGAGGGGAAUCAGUGAAGAAGCAAACCUACUGCAUUGUACAAGUUCUGGAGGAAUUCAUCUCACUGUGAUCUUCUGUGAAUGGUGCACUAAGGGCAGAUGGUAGAGAGAUAUGGAAUACCAAAAUCCUUGUACGUAAUGGCUGAGAGCAGGAGCUGUCGUAACUAACAGGAUCGCUGUUCUACUUUAUUAAGAAUAUAAAUCUUCCUGAGCAGAUCUCACAUGAAGUUGGUGCUGUCAUUGUGGUUUGUUUCACUGAGAAUGGCAGUCCUGUGGACUUAGGUAUAAGAACCAUUCAGCCCCCAUCAGCGUGUGUAAUCUCUGGCAACUCUCUUAAAUUUUUUAUACCUCUGUUUCCUCAUAAAUGAAAUGGAUAACAAUACCUAUCUCAGUAUUAUUCUGAAAACUGAAUGAGAUACAUUGUGUAUAACAUUGAGCAUGGUUCUUGGUUCUUAUCAAUACUUAGCAGUAAGUGGUGGUUAUAAUUUCGAAUAAGAUUUAAAAAAAUGUAGCGACUUGUCAAGAGUUAUACAAGUAUAAAGGAUUAUUCUUUUGGUUUUAACCAGGCCAGUUACUAAGCUAUUGCCUUUCAGGUCCAAAGCAUCGUCUUUCGAUUCAGCUCAGCAACCUUGCGGCUUGCACUUGCCAAACGGCCUUCGGCUUUGGUGUCCGUCCCUGUUCCUCUUCCAUCAGGGGGCACCGGAGGGAGAAGCGAGGCUGGGAGAAGGCAAGUUCCUUCCUGCCUGCUUCCUGUUGGCUUGGGGUCUCUUCCUGUUCCUGAGAGCGGCGUUGCAGCAGUUUUCCAUUCCGAGGCGGCAGUUCCUUCCCAAAGUCAGAAUCGAAUCCGGUUUGCAGUGACUCUGACGCUUUCAAAAUUCUGGGCUCCACUUCAGAGUCGCCGGCACAAGUCACACCUCCUUUUUAUGUCUUUCUUGUAG